UGCGAAGUGGUGUAACUGGCAACACGCUCGGCUUUGACCCGAGAUACUCCAGGUUCGACCCCUGGCUUCGCAG
Molecule: transfer RNA, 73 nt
Filed under: Acidobacteriota bacterium
Lineage: Bacteria; Pseudomonadati; Acidobacteriota
Also listed under: 1 other name
Description: Acidobacteria bacterium tRNA-Gln
Rfam family: tRNA
About the family: Transfer RNA (tRNA) molecules are approximately 80 nucleotides in length. Their secondary structure includes four short double-helical elements and three loops (D, anti-codon, and T loops).
Source: RNAcentral